UCCGUAGGGGGCAAUCGUUGUCCGGAAUCAUUGGGCGUAAAGCGCGUGUAGGCGGCUCGAUAAGUCUGCUGUGAAAGUCCAGGGCUCAACCCUGGAAAGCCGGUGGAAACUGUCGGGCUAGAGUCCGGAAGAGGCGAGUGGAAUUCCUGGUGUAGCGGUGAAAUGCGCAGAUAUCAGGAGGAACACCAAUGGCGAAGGCAGCUCGCUGGGACGGUACUGACGCUGAGACGCGAAAGCGUGGGGAGAAAACAGG
Molecule: ribosomal RNA, 253 nt
Filed under: uncultured bacterium
Lineage: Bacteria
Description: partial 16S ribosomal RNA
Rfam family: Bacterial small subunit ribosomal RNA
Source: RNAcentral